GAUGAACGCUGGCGGCGUGCCUAAUACAUGCAAGUCGAGCGAACAGACGAGGAGCUUGCUCCUCUGACGUUAGCGGCGGACGGGUGAGUAACACGUGGAUAACCUACCUAUAAGACUGGGAUAACUUCGGGAAACCGGAGCUAAUACCGGAUAAUAUAUUGAACCGCAUGGUUCAAUAGUGAAAGACGGUUUUGCUGUCACUUAUAGAUGGAUCCGCGCCGCAUUAGCUAGUUGGUAAGGUAACGGCUUACCAAGGCAACGAUGCGUAGCCGACCUGAGAGGGUGAGCGGCCACAGUGGAGCUGAGACACGAUCCAGACACGUGCGGGUGGCAGCAGUAGAAGAUCUUCCGUAAUGGGCGAAAGCCUGACGGUGCAACGCCGCGUGAUUGAUGAAGGUCUUCGGAUCGUAAGACUCUGUUAUUAGGGAGGAACAAAUUUGUAAAUAACUAUGCACGUCUUGACGGUACCUAGUCAGAGGGCGACGGGUAACUACGUG
Molecule: ribosomal RNA, 497 nt
Filed under: uncultured bacterium
Lineage: Bacteria
Description: partial 16S ribosomal RNA
Rfam family: Bacterial small subunit ribosomal RNA
Source: RNAcentral